Zea mays is the source of this 6033-nucleotide long non-coding RNA. RefSeq lists it as uncharacterized. Lineage: Eukaryota; Viridiplantae; Streptophyta; Magnoliopsida; Poales; Poaceae. The transcript has 3 exons. The record is from RefSeq and is a predicted model, not a curated record.
AGUGCCGGUCGAUCUGAGCCAUUGGAUAUUAGGGUUGGGGGAGUUUUCUUCUAUUUAUACCUCCCUAACCCUAGCAGCCACGUCCUCCCACCCUAGCAGCCAUCCCCUUUUGUGCCUUGCCCCAAGAGAAGAGAGGAAGAACAAGGGAGAGAAGAGAGGGAAGAUUAGGGCACGCACUCGCCUGUCGUCGUCAUCGUUCCUCUUCAAGAAUUGGUGGUUAUGCUCCGGAUCAUGCUUAGUACAUUUUCUUCUUCGAUGAAGGCAAGUGAAUGUAGCGGUGGUUGCUACCGUUUUGACUUGUUGUUUCAUCGCCUACACUCUAAUAUUCAGAAUCAUCGAAUUCUUUUGUAAUUGAACUCUAUGGUGAUGCUUUACUUGAUUGUAUUAUAUUGAUGCUUAAUCAUAUAUUGAUGAUGAUGAUGAUGAUUCGAGUAAGACCCACGAGAUUAAUUCACACUCCUGAAGGUGAAUGAAGUAUUAUUUGAGGUUUGUAUUAUAUCUGAAGGUAAACGAAGUAUUAUUUGAGGUUUUUAUUGUAUCUGAAGGUAAACGAAGUAUUGUUUGAGGUUUGUAUUGUAUUUGAAGGAAGUGAAGUAUAUUGAUAAAUACAACAUGCCAUAUACAUUGCAUGAUUCACUUGCAUCUGAAGUUUUGUCGUGACCUAUGGUCCGACCGUACCGGUACAACUUAGCAUCGUACGUUGCCCGAGGAGGGGUACGAUGCGGCUUCAUACCCUUAGAGGUACGAAGGCAGAGGACAUAUGCAUUGCAUUCAUAUGCAUUCAUUGAAGUGAUAUUUGCAGAUGGUGUGGUUUUAUACUCUAAGAGGGAAGUUUUAUACAACCUAUUGUGGUCGUUCGAGGAAAUGAGAUGGCAUUGGUUAUUUUGGGACUAUUGAGUUCUAUAUCUACAAGUAUUUCUGAUCUCAAUUGUGAUCCCUUUUAAAAUGUUGAUUAAUUCAAUUCUUUUGCUUUAAAUAUCUCGUCAAAAUAAUUUACUUGCUGAGAUGUUUCAUCUCACUCUUGCAUUACUCAAUGCAGGUACUUGAUUCAUGUUGGGAAUGAGAGAAGUAGUAGCACGUCCACCUUCACUCUCAUAAUAACGCUGCCCAGGCACAACCAUGAUUUAAUAAGAAACUUCUUGUCAAGGAUGUUUGUUUUUAACUAGUCGUGCACACUAGUUAAUUCAGUUUAUGUCGUUAUGGUUAUCUUCCCAUUGCUAGCAGAUUAUUAAUGCCUAGUAUGUUUUCUUAUCAUGAUAUCUGUUUAUACUCUGUUGCUUCCACGUUUAUGCAAAUUUCCAAAGGAGAUGCUGUCGAAAUUUUAUUUAUGAAUGUUAGUUGUGUACUUUAGUAGCAUUUCGGGGAGUUUGUGGAUCCUGGGGUGUUACAGUUGGUAUCAAAGCAUAGGCUUUAGAUUCUUGGCAAUUUGAAGAUAAAUUUGACACACUUGCACAUAUAGGAAGGGUGUGGGUUCAAAUAUCUUUGAUAUAUGUUAAUGUCUUUGAAGUGCAGAUGAAAUAAUUUCACCAUCCCUAAUCCUUUAUGGUGAUGUGGUAUGUUGUUAAUGACUUAAUGCCUGAUAUAAUUCAUUUCUAAAUUUUGAUAUUGUUUAUUAAUACGAUUGAUAUCGCUGUUCUUUUGUGAGAUUGAAGUCGUUAUUAUGCUUGUGAUAUACAUGUAUGCCUAUGUCGUUUUCAACAUGUUUUUCAUGGUUGAGUUUUAUUACAAUAAUAUUGUUAUAUAUGUUUGAUUGAGGAUGUUUCCAAGAGGAGUGUGAAUUGCAUGUUUUGGGUUACAAGGUAACCAUCGAUUUGGAUUUAAGUUGUUUGGCGGUUGGUGGAUAGCUCCAACUAUCUUUGCAAGGAAUGAUUGUUUAUUCCGAGAAACCAGUUCUGAAAGAAAUAAAUAUUGGUACUUUUAUAUGGAUUUUGGGGGGAAAGUCUUUACAUAGCUAGCCAGAGUGGAUUACAUGUCUCCCUUCUAUCUUGUGUUUUAGUAGCCACAAAGCCUAGAUGUGGUUUAAAGUGGUUGCAUGUUAGUCAUGCUAAUUGUAGAAUAAAUCUUUUAUUUUCUUGAUCCAUUGAUUAUAUAUUAAUACGUUGAGGAUCUGAUGGUUAUCUCCCUGAUGCAUGCUUGUGGAGCCAUUGUUGGACCACUUAUCUAUUGGUUUGAAUGAAGUCAUUGCCUAGCCUAGAGUUGGUUGGGUGUGGUUAGUCACCUAUUUCUAAAUGAUGUUGUUCUUACAUCAGAUUGAGAUGUUUGUCAUGUGUGUGAAGGAUUACAGGGUUAUUAUUGACCAUGUAUGUCUGGUACUUUGAGUGCAUCGUAGGAUGGAAUGAAAUGUAAGUUUCUGAACUACAGUAGAUGAAGACUUAUAUUAUGUGUAGGUUAACCUUACUAGUUUGGAUAUUUUUUUAGUUGAGUUGUUGGAUGAAGUAUGGUGACAUUAGUUAAGCAAAGUAUUGUGUUGUUGUUGUGCUGUCACUGCUCUUUGUAGAGUUUUUGGCAUUUGUUCGAUGAACUGUGCCGCACAGAAUGUUAUUGGCUUCUUGUUGGCUUUAUUGCUCCAUUAGUUCUGUAGACUUUCUACCUUUUGUGGGGUGUAAAGAACGUUAGAUUACAUGAUUAUCUUUUUCAUGACGUCAAGAACAAGGUUUAUGAAGAUUAGGAGUUUUGUUUCAAUGGAACUACUUGUUUCGUGGUGCUUUGAUGUGAGGUGUUUGAUCUUCUUAGACAUUCAUCUGGUGUGGAUGUUUGACAAUUGAAUUAAAAUGAAUUGUUGAAGUUGGUAAGGGUUGCUCUUAGUGCAUAUUACCUCUUCAUAAAAAGAGUGUUGUUUUAAGACAUUGAUCUUGAUGUAUAGCUGCAUCCAAAUUCAAUGAUGGCAAAUCCUAGUGUUGAUUGCACCUAUGACAAUGCCUUGGGAAUUCGUUUUAUAUUGUUUUAUGAUUGUUGUCAAGGUGUGUCAUUUUCUUUGGUAAAUUAGUCCGACUUAGAGGUUAUUUCUUGAAAAACUCUUUUCAUGAUCUCGUCAAGGCUACUAGUCUACUAUAUGAGUCUAUUUAGGGUGUUUGACCGAGUUUUACCGUUGGUGAAUGUCUUGAUUUGUGGCUGAAUUCGAGGACGAAUUCUUUUAAGGGGGGUAGAAUAUAAUACCCUAAAAACCAAACCAUGUUUAAAAUUCUAAUAUGGUGUGUCCUACUGAUGAUCGGAGACCGUAGAUGCAUAGAUAUCGUUGAGACGAUUUCGAUCGACUACUAGUUUGCCUUGUUUGGAGUCUGAAUGUGUUUUUUCAAGUGGCGGUCGAUCUGAGCCAUUGGAUAUUAGGGUUGGGGGAGUUUUCUUCUAUUUAUACCUCCCUAACCCUAGCAGCCACGUCCUCCCACCCUAGCAGCCAUCCCCUUUUGUGCCUUGCCCCAAGAGAAGAGAGGAAGAACAAGGGAGAGAAGAGAGGGAAGAUUAGGGCACACACUCGCCUGUCGUCGUCAUCGUUCCUCUUCAAGAAUUGGUUGGAUUUCCUUUCCUCUCUCCAUUGUCCCCACUUGAUGGAUGUUUUACCUUGUUUUGGAUGAGUUUUAGGCCCUACAAUUAGCCCUUUAUGUUGGAUUAGAUGGGGGAUUAGAUUUUUGAUCUCGAAAUUAGUCCCUGCAGAAUGACAGAUUCGAUAGUUUUUAUUCAUACCAGUUUUCCGUGGUCUUAGGGGCCUCAAAAAAAAUAAAAAGUCUAUUUAUGAGUUGUAGAUAAUUUAGAUAUCAUUCCGUGACCGCAAAGAACAUCUCAAUCGGACAUCAGGUUAGAGAGUAAUUGCAGUUUGAUUAUAACAGUUUUCCAGUCUCAUAAUUAUGUGUAGAAUCUGUUCUCAUGAGAUUUAGACAAUUCUAUCAACAGAAUUGAAAUUUUGGUUAGUAAGAGAAGUUGUAUAUAAUUUCAUAAGCUUUCCAGAUUAAUAAAUAGUGUAUUCAUAUGAAUUUUGAAACUCCAGUUAUGUUUAUUUUACUGUGGCUGUUCCUGUUUGCCUGGCAAAAACCGAGCAGGUCUGUUCACUGGUGGGUUUCAUAUAGUAAAUUGCCAAAUUGGCUCCUCCAACUAUGGAGACUUUGGUAGAGGGAUAAAUGUUCUUACUGCCAGCAAAAUUUCAUAAUUUGUGGUUGAGUAGUUUGGGAGAUAUCGAAUUUUGAAUUUAACUAUGCUGCUGUCUAAAACAGAUUCACUCAGUUAUCUUGUCGGAUGUUUUAGAACUUAUAGAUGGCAAAAUUUAAUUAUCCAUUGAAUACCGAAGUUGUAGAGUAUUUUGUGUAGAUACUCCUAGAGUAUUUGUUUGAUACCACCACUGUUAUAAUUUUAAAGAUACAAAAUUAACAAACAGCGCUGCUGCUGUUUGACAUGUGGUUCAGGGUGGGAGUCUUUUCACCAGGUCUUGGUUUCAAGCGUAGGAACGAUUUGUUGAUUGUUGGCAAAUGUUUAUGAAAUAUUUGUACUAAGUUUUAUGCCCCGCAACAGGUGGUUAUGCUCCGGAUCAUGCUUAGUACAUUUUCUUCUUCGAUGAACGCAAGUGAAUGUAGCGGUGGUUGCUACCGUUUUGACUUGUUGUUUCAUCGCCUACACUCUAAUAUUCAGAAUCAUCGAAUUCUUUCGUAAUUGAACUCUAUGGUGAUGCUUUACUUGAUUGUAUUAUAUUGAUGCUUAAUCAUAUAUUGAUGAUGAUGAUGAUUCGAGUAAGACCCACGAGAUUAAUUCACACUCCUGAAGGUGAAUGAAGUAUUAUUUGAGGUUUGUAUUAUAUCUGAAGGUAAACGAAGUAUUAUUUGAGGUUUGUAUUGUAUCUGAAGGUAAACGAAGUAUUGUUUGAGGUUUGUAUUGUAUUUGAAGGAAGUGAAGUAUAUUGAUAAAUGCAACAUGCCAUAUACAUUGCAUGAUUCACUUACAUCUGAAGUUUUGUCGUGACCUAUGGUCCGACCGUACCGGUACAACUUAGCAUCGUACGUUGCCCGAGGAGGGGUACGAUGCGGCUUCAUACCCUUAGAGGUAUGAAGGCAGAGGACAUAUGCAUUGCAUUCAUAUGCAUUCAUUGAAGUGAUAUUUGCAGAUGGUGUGGUUUUAUACUCUAAGAGGGAAGUGUUAUACAACCUAUUGUGGUCGUUCGAGGAAACGAGAUGACAUUGGUUAUUUUGAGACUAUUGAGUUCUAUAUCUACAAGUAUUUCUGAUCUCAAUUGUGAUCCCUUUUAAAAUGUUGAUUAAUUCAAUUCUUUUGGUUUAAAUAUCUCGUCAAAAUAAUUUACUUGCUGAGAUGUUUCAUCUCACUCUUGCAUUACUCAAUGCAGGUACUUGAUUCAUGUUGGGAAUGAGAGAAGUAGUAGCACGUCCACCUUCACUCUCAUAAUAACGCUACCCAGGCACAACCAUGAUUUAAUUAGAAACUUCUUGUCAAGGAUGUUUGUUUUUAACUAGUCGUGCACACUAGUUAAUUCAGUUUAUGUCGUUAUGGUUAUCUUCCCAUUGCUAGCAGAUUAUUAAUGCCUAGUAUGUUUUCUUAUCAUGAUAUCUGUUUAUACUCUGUUGCUUCCACGUUUAUGAAAAUUUCCAAAGGAGAUGCUGUCGAAAUUUUAUAUAUGAAUGUUAGUUGUGUAGUUUAGUAGCAUUUCAGGGUGUUUGUGGAUCCUGGGGUUUUACAUCGGGUCUUCUCCUCCACAUUCUGGUUGCAUGGCAGCAGCACGAGCUUCGGGUCAGGAGGUCACCUUAGAGGCCGGCGCGCCUGAUGACAGAGUUUUGAUUUCUGCUGGUGACGCUGAAUUGGUUCCCACUGAUGCUCUGUAGAUUACUUCGGUUGGUAAUCCUUCAUCAAGUCACCAACUGAAUUCCCAUGAUUUGGGGGUUCCUUCGUUCUUCUCCAAUCUCCAGGCAUUGGUUGACGAGAUGGCUGGUCAGCUGAGAUCGCAGGGUGCCUCUGUCCCAGAAAGAGCUCUGUCUCUGACACAUUGGAAUCCAGUGCUGCUUCAGCAGCGGGUAUCUGAUUUGGAGAUGGCGAAUGCUG